Dermochelys coriacea (leatherback sea turtle) is the source of this 157-nucleotide long non-coding RNA. RefSeq lists it as uncharacterized. The record is from RefSeq and is a predicted model, not a curated record. Lineage: Eukaryota; Metazoa; Chordata; Testudines; Dermochelyidae. The transcript has 3 exons.
CAGGACAUCAAGAAACUAGAUCGUGAUUAUUGGGAGAAUGGGUUGACAGCAAUGGAGUGUGCCUUGCACCUGGAAAAGAAUGUGAACCAGUCACUCCUUGAUCUGCACAAGCGGGCAACUGACAAGAAUGACCCUCAUUUGUGAUAGGAAGAGCAUC